This 467-nucleotide ribosomal RNA is filed under the name uncultured bacterium. Its description in RNAcentral is "partial 16S ribosomal RNA". It matches the Rfam family "Bacterial small subunit ribosomal RNA", at positions 28 to 507 of the family's 1533-position model. The record is from RNAcentral.
GAUGAACGCUGACAGAAUGCUUAACACAUGCAAGUCAACUUGAAUUUGGGUUUUUACCUUUGGUUUGGGUGGCGGACGGGUGAGUAACGCGUAAAGAACUUGCCUCACAGCUAGGGACAACAUUUGGAAACGAAUGCUAAUACCUAAUAUUAUGAUAAUAGGGCAUCCUAUAAUUAUGAAAGCUAUAAGCGCUGUGAGAGAGCUUUGCGUCCCAUUAGCUAGUUGGAGAGGUAACGGCUCACCAAGGCGAUGAUGGGUAGCCGGUCUGAGAGGGUGAUCGGCCACAAGGGGACUGAGACACGGCCCUUACUCCUACGGGAGGCAGCAGUGGGGAAUAUUGGACAAUGGACCGAGAGUCUGAUGCAGCAAUUCUGUGUGCACGAUGAAGUUUUUCGGAAUGUAAAGUGCUUUCAGUUGGGAAGAAACAAAUGACGGUACCAACAGAAGAAGUGACGGCUAAAUACGUG